This 84-nucleotide microRNA precursor is filed under the name Phlebotomus papatasi. RNAcentral's name for it is "microRNA mir-186". Lineage: Eukaryota; Metazoa; Arthropoda; Insecta; Diptera; Psychodidae. The record is from RNAcentral.
UGAAAACAUGUUUACAAACAAAAGUUAUUGUGUGCUGGGCAUUAUUCUCAGCGCACAAAAACUUUUGUUUUGUAAAUAUGUUUU